UACAGAGGUCCCAAGCGUUGUUCGGAUUCACUGGGCGUAAAGGGUGCGUAGGCGGUUUGAUAAGUCUGAUGUGAAAUCCCGCAGCUUAACUGCGGAACUGCAUUGGAAACUAUUUGACUAGAGGAAUGGAGGGGAGACUGGAAUACUUGGUGUAGCAGUGAAAUGCGUAGAUAUCAAGUGGAACACCAGUGGCGAAGGCGAGUCUCUGGACAUUUCCUGACGCUGAGGCACGAAAGCCAGGGGAGCAAACAGG
This 253-nucleotide ribosomal RNA is filed under the name uncultured bacterium. RNAcentral's name for it is "partial 16S ribosomal RNA". It matches the Rfam family "Bacterial small subunit ribosomal RNA", at positions 524 to 776 of the family's 1533-position model. The record is from RNAcentral.